This 425-nucleotide ribosomal RNA is filed under the name uncultured bacterium. RNAcentral describes it as "partial 16S ribosomal RNA". It matches the Rfam family "Bacterial small subunit ribosomal RNA", at positions 359 to 775 of the family's 1533-position model. The record is from RNAcentral.
GAAUAUUGGACAAUGGGGGGAACCCUGAUCCAGCCAUGCCGCGUGUGUGAAGAAGGCCUUUUGGUUGGAAAGCACUUUAACCGAGGCGGAGGAGCUCUUGGUUAAUACCCAAGAUGCUUGGACGGUACUCGCAGAGUAAGAACCGGCUAACUCUGUGCGAGCAGCCGCGGUAAUACAUAGGGUGCAAGCGUUAAUCGGAUUUACUGGGCGUAAAGCUUGCGUAGGUGGCCAAUUAAGUCAAAUGUUGAAUCCCAGAGCUUAACUUGGGAAUUGCAUUCGAUACUGGUUGGCUAGAGUAUGGGAGAGGAUGGUAGAAUUCCAGGUGUAGCGGUGAAAUGCGUAGAGAUCUGGAGGAAUACCGAUGGCGAAUGCAGCCAUCUGGCCUAAUACUGACACUGAGGUGCGAAAGCAUGGGGAGCAAACAG